GUGCCAGCCGCCGCGGUAAUACGGAGGGUGCGAGCGUUGUCCGGAAUCACUGGGCGUAAAGGGCGCGUAGGCGGCGCGACAAGUCAAUGGUGAAAGCCCGAGGCUCAACUUCGGGUCGGCCACUGAUACUGUUGGGCUUGAGCACUGUAGAGGCAGGUGGAAUUCCGGGUGUAGCGGUGGAAUGCGUAGAGAUCCGGAAGAACACCGGUGGCGAAGGCGGCCUGCUGGGCAGUAGCUGACGCUGAUGCGCGACAGCGUGGGGAGCAAACAGGAUUAGAUACCCUAGUAGUCC
RNAcentral lists this ribosomal RNA (292 nucleotides) under uncultured bacterium. Its description in RNAcentral is "partial 16S ribosomal RNA". It matches the Rfam family "Bacterial small subunit ribosomal RNA", at positions 505 to 796 of the family's 1533-position model. The record is from RNAcentral.